RNAcentral lists this long non-coding RNA (926 nucleotides) under Citrus x clementina. Its description in RNAcentral is "Citrus clementina (C. clementina) long non-coding RNA (CCLE_LNC002012)". The record is from RNAcentral. Lineage: Eukaryota; Viridiplantae; Streptophyta; Magnoliopsida; Sapindales; Rutaceae.
UUUAUCGCAUGAUUGGGAGGGUAGCGAACUGGUCACAUCAUUUUGUAAGAUGACGUGUUUCCUUUGACUUUUAGAUAGCUUUGGACAUUGUUGCUUUUUGUGAAUUUUUUAAAUUUAUUUAUUAAUUUAUCCUUUCAAUAAAUUAAUUUUUUUAAUUUAUUUAUUCGUUGAAUGGAUGUAGUUUACAUUAUCUCUUCAAAGAUUUGUGAGAUAAUUCUCACUGAAGUAGAUAUGGCCAUGCCCGCUGGCUGCUGAAGCAAUGGGCAUGGCUUAAACUAUUCCGAAGGAUAAGCCAGUUGGCUUUUCUCAAAGCGAUAGAUUCAUUUAGGAAGGGGUUAAUUUUGGAUUAUUCUCCUCACUAUCUUAAAAUCACUCUUUUUUAUUUUUAAAAAUUUUAAUUUAUCUCCUAUUUUAUUAAGAAGACAAAAAUAAAAAAAUCAUUAAUCUACCCACAUUUAUUCUCUUAUCUUUUGACUAGAUAUUAGGGUAAUUUAAAGUUUUCAAAAGAAAAUGAUUAAUAUGAAGAUAAUUAAUUUACGAAGAGAAUAAUCUCAAAUUUUCUUUUAGGAUUUGAGGAGGGGUGGGGAUGCAAUAGAACUAUAUAUAUAUAUAUAACUUUACUAGAAGAUAUUUUAUGAGGAACUUUAUUGAAUAAAUGGAUGAGGUUAUAAUGACAAUUAAUUUUUUUUUUUUGUCUGAACCACGAGGUGGUCUUGAGUGGGCCCCAACUUUGAGAAACACCUUUAAGCCCGUAUCACGACUCAGACUAAUCUCCGCUCGCACCGGGUCGGCCCGUAAGGGGUAAAGUGCUGGUCAAAGUGGUGACUCCAUACGAAAGCGGGGCUUGAACUCCUAACCUCUCUUAAGGAGUGAGAGUGUCAAACCACUCACACCAACCAACUUUGAUUAUAACGACAAUUAUUUUG